This is a long non-coding RNA of Clupea harengus (Atlantic herring), 1406 nucleotides long. The record is from Ensembl. NCBI's taxonomy places the organism in Eukaryota, Metazoa, Chordata, Actinopteri, Clupeiformes, Clupeidae.
ACCAACUCUCACGGUUUCGCCGUGUGACACACGCUUUUGCAUGUUUACGCACUGACGCCACACAUUCAAUAUCUCACGCAAAAAAAAAAUCUGAUUUUGGGCCGAGACGCGUUCGUUCCUUUUCAAACUCCCCGACGGUAAAUGCCGCUAUGGAGCGCAUCUGUAACCCUAUUCGCUGCAUAGACAUCCUAUUUACUCCAAAGUCUCGAAGUAAUAGCGAGAGACAGCAGAAGAGUUACAAAGAGACACAACUGCGGGAGAAACUCGCGAAGAGAAUCCAUCGCUGAAGAAAAUCUUCAUCUCCAAUCUGAGCAGAGACUAGGCCAAAGAAAAGGACUCACUCUGAAGACUUUUCCAAACAGCACUUUGAACAGGUUUCCCCAUCUCCUCCCAAACCAUGGGCCAGAGGAGCAUGACCACCUGGGUGAGGAGUUUCUGAAUUAUCAGACCAUGCCAACAACCUCCCUUCAGGACGAAACGGAGAUGGAAAGCUUCUGGGCUGGAAUGGCAACACGGAAACGUAAGAGUGGCAGGAGUCAAAGAAUUUGAGAGGCUUGCUGCUGUCGCCAAGCUGGUCCUGGUGUUGCCCCAUUCGAAUGCAGAUGCUGAGAGGGUGUUUUCAGUUGUGGGACUGAACAAAACUAAGACCAGAAAUAGCCUGGCAUUGGAUGGCACCCUGUCUUCAAUAAUGGCCAUAAAGAUGGCUGACCUGGAGCCCUGUUUCAGAUGGGAGCCCCCCUCAGAGGUCAUCAAGGCCUCCAAGAAGGCCACAGACCAGUACAACCUUGCCCACAGAUCUUAGAAAAUGACUAACCAGGUUCUGAUCUGCAUCUGAUACCUAAUUUUUAGUUAUUUUUGACAUGUGUUGACUCCAUUUUAUCGCUUAAAAAAGCUACUGUUUAUGCACUUUAUUUGUUGCACUUUUUUGUUUGAUGGAACAUGUGGUGGGAGGCUUUGAAUAAUGAAAAAUAUUUCUCCCUAACUAAACUUGUGUAAUUUUUUGCUGGACAUAAAUCAUUAAGUGCUCCUAAAUUAAGUGCUCAUAAAUCAUUAAAUACAAUUAUUAACAAUAUAGGUUAGGUUUCAGUUAAGAAUUAGUUGAAUACCAUUGUAAUCAAAAUGUCAAUCAACCUACCUUGGUCAAAUCUUAAACACAGGUCUAUUAAUUAGGCUAUAUUGUGGUACAUAGACAGUCAUUGAGGCACAAUAAUAGUUUUCUGGUUGAAUGUUCAGCUCAAGUCUAUAAGGCCCUACAAGUCAUGAUCAGAUGAACAUGAAUCAAAAUAAGUUCAGGUAUUGCACAUCUUUAGCAUACCACCCAAAAAUCCACUAGAAUGCAGGAAAUAACAUCUACUUAAACCAAAAUGUCCUGGGGGUGGACCUUCAGCUAUGUCUUUGCUUCACAG